AGCGAACGCUGGCGGCAGGCCUAACACAUGCAAGUCGAACGAACCUUUCGGGGUUAGUGGCGGACGGGUGAGUAACACGUGGGAACGUGCCUUUAGGUUCGGAAUAACUCAGGGAAACUUGUGCUAAUACCGAAUGUGCCCUUCGGGGAAAGGAUUUUCGGCUUUAAGGGCGGCCCGGGUCUGUUUAGCUGGUUGGUUGUGGUAUUGCCUCACCAAGGCGACGAUCAGUAGCUGGUCUGAGAGGAUGAUCAGCCACAUUGGGACUGAGACACGGCCCAAACUCCUACGGGAGGCAGCAGUGGGGAAUCUUGCGCAAUGGGCGAAAGCCUGACGCAGCCAUGCCGCGUGAAUGAUGAAGGUCUUAGGAUUGUAAAAUUCUUUCACCGGGGACGAUAAUGACGGUACCCGGAGAAGAAGCCCCGGCUAACUUCGUG
This 434-nucleotide ribosomal RNA is filed under the name uncultured bacterium. RNAcentral describes it as "partial 16S ribosomal RNA". It matches the Rfam family "Bacterial small subunit ribosomal RNA", at positions 29 to 507 of the family's 1533-position model. The record is from RNAcentral.